Molecule: transfer RNA, 73 nt
Filed under: Treponema sp.
Lineage: Bacteria; Pseudomonadati; Spirochaetota; Spirochaetia; Treponematales; Treponemataceae
Description: tRNA-Ala
Rfam family: tRNA
About the family: Transfer RNA (tRNA) molecules are approximately 80 nucleotides in length. Their secondary structure includes four short double-helical elements and three loops (D, anti-codon, and T loops).
Source: RNAcentral
GGGGCAUUAGCUCACCUGGUAGAGCGUGUGGUUCGCAAUCAUAAGGUAGUCGGUUCAAGUCCGAUAUGCUCCA